AUUUUAACCUUUGUGAUUUGAGCUUAACUGAUAAGUCUUUAGAAGAAGAUAGGCGAAAGAUACCAGAGGGAUAUUUGAUUUUAUAAGUAGAAAAUAAACUAACAACGCCAGGGCCAAGAUAGAAAAGAAAAAACUGUCAAAUAAUAGUACACACGACACAACAUCGAAAACAAAAAAUAAGCAACAGGAACCCCACCAAAUCGUGAUGGCGUCCGUAAAAUUUACGAAGGGAUGAUUUCAACUUCAUCAUUUGGAACUCUUGAUUUAAUAGCUUCCUUGUGAGCAGUAACCCUUUUUAAAGGAAAUCAUAAUAGGGAAUAUCGUAUCAUUGGGAGAUAUUUGUAUGUAAGACCC
RNAcentral lists this long non-coding RNA (354 nucleotides) under Mytilus galloprovincialis (Mediterranean mussel). Lineage: Eukaryota; Metazoa; Mollusca; Bivalvia; Mytilida; Mytilidae. The record is from RNAcentral.